This 424-nucleotide ribosomal RNA is filed under the name uncultured prokaryote. RNAcentral describes it as "bacterial SSU rRNA". It matches the Rfam family "Bacterial small subunit ribosomal RNA", at positions 355 to 776 of the family's 1533-position model. The record is from RNAcentral. RNAcentral also lists the same sequence under 1 other name.
UGGGGAAUAUUGGGCAAUGGGGGGAACCCUGACCCAGCAACGCCGCGUGAAGGAAGACGGCCCUAUGGGUUGUAAACUUCUUUUGUAAGGGAAUAAAGUGCAGUACGUGUACUGUUUUGCAUGUACCUUACGAAUAAGGAUCGGCUAACUCCGUGCCAGCAGCCGCGGUAAUACGGAGGAUCCGAGCGUUAUCCGGAUUUAUUGGGUUUAAAGGGUGCGCAGGCGGGAGAUUAAGUCGGCGGUGAAAUUUUGCAGCUCAACUGUAAAAGUGCCUUCGAAACUGGUUUCCUUGAGUGUAGAUGAAGUAGGCGGAAUUUGUGGUGUAGCGGUGAAAUGCAUAGAUAUCACGAGGAACUCCGAUUGCGAAGGCAGCUUACUAAGCUACUACUGACGCUCAGGCACGAAGGCGUGGGGAUCAAACAGG